CUAAGAAUCUUCCGCAAUGGGGGAAACCCUGACGGAGCGACGCCGCGUGGACGAUGAAGGCCGUAAGGUUGUAAAGUCCUUUUGCAGGCGAAGAAUAAGGCGGGGAGUGGAAAGCCCUGCUGAUGACGUUAGCCUGCGAAUAAGCCCCGGCCAAUUACGUGCCAGCAGCCGCGGUAAUACGUAUGGGGCGAGCGUUGUUCGGAGUUAUUGGGCGUAAAGGGCGUGUAGGCGGCGCGCGGCGUCCGGUGUGAAAACGCAGGGCUCAACCCUGCGGUUGCGCUGGAAACGGGCGUGCUGGAGUCCCGGGGGGGAAGCUGGAAUUCCUGGUGUAGGAGUGAAAUCUGUAGAGAUCAGGAAGAACACCGGUGGCGAAGGCGAGCUUCUAUUCGAGGACUGACGCUGAGGCGCGAAAGCGUGGGGAGCAAACAGG
This 430-nucleotide ribosomal RNA is filed under the name uncultured Spirochaeta sp. RNAcentral's name for it is "bacterial SSU rRNA". It matches the Rfam family "Bacterial small subunit ribosomal RNA", at positions 355 to 776 of the family's 1533-position model. The record is from RNAcentral. Lineage: Bacteria; Pseudomonadati; Spirochaetota; Spirochaetia; Spirochaetales; Spirochaetaceae.